UACGUAGGUGACAAGCGUUGUCCGGAUUUACUGGGCGUAAAGAGCGCGCAGGCGGUCGAUCAAGUCGAGUGUGAAAGCCCCCGGCUCAACUGGGGAGGGUCACUCGAUACUGAUCGACUCGAAGGCAGAAGAGGGAAGCGGAAUUCCCGGUGUAGUGGUGAAAUGCGUAGAUAUCGGGAGGAACACCAGUGGCGAAGGCGGCUUUCUGGUCUGCUCUUGACGCUGAGGCGCGAAAGCUAGGGUAGCAAACGGG
This 253-nucleotide ribosomal RNA is filed under the name uncultured bacterium. RNAcentral's name for it is "partial 16S ribosomal RNA". It matches the Rfam family "Bacterial small subunit ribosomal RNA", at positions 524 to 776 of the family's 1533-position model. The record is from RNAcentral.